GCCUCGGUAGCUCAGCCUGGCCAGAGUAUAGCGGCCAAAGCGCUUCCUUGGUAAGGAAGAGGUCGCGGGUCCAAAUCCCGCCCGAGGCU
Molecule: transfer RNA, 89 nt
Filed under: Nitrososphaerales archaeon
Lineage: Archaea; Thermoproteati; Nitrososphaerota; Nitrososphaeria; Nitrososphaerales
Description: tRNA-Thr
Rfam family: tRNA
About the family: Transfer RNA (tRNA) molecules are approximately 80 nucleotides in length. Their secondary structure includes four short double-helical elements and three loops (D, anti-codon, and T loops).
Source: RNAcentral